RNAcentral lists this unclassified non-coding RNA (3174 nucleotides) under Hevea brasiliensis (rubber tree). Lineage: Eukaryota; Viridiplantae; Streptophyta; Magnoliopsida; Malpighiales; Euphorbiaceae. The record is from RNAcentral.
CAUUCUGAAGCUAAAACCCUACUCGAACUUAAUCGCGGUAUCGUCACUGGCCGUUUGCAGCAACAACAAUGGCGAUAUCAAAACCUUCAACUUCAAAGCCCUCAAACGAAAAAACCACCAAGAAAAACGACAUGGAGCUCUUGAAAUCUGAGGUGGCCACUUUUGCUUCCUCUCUCGGCCUCUCUUCUUCUUCUCUCCCUUCCUCCUCUGGUUUCAAUGAUGCCGAUUUUCGAAAAUCGGGUCCUUUGAAGAAACCAAAAUCCUCAAAGCAAAAAACCCAACUCGAUAAAACCCUGGAAAGUAACGAAAGCGAAGGCUCUCCCAAGACCCAAUUCGAUAAGAGCUCAGAGAAGGUCAGGAAUUUCAAAAACAAGGAUAAUAAGUCUCACAAAAAUGAGAAGAAAUCUCAGUUUGACCAAAAACCCAAGAAAAAUCCAUUACCAAAGCCUCCAGUUUUGUCACUUGAUGAUAAUAACAAAAGCAACAGCAGCACAAGAGCAUUUGACAAGUACAAGAACCUGCCAAAACUACCUUUAGUGAAGGCUAGUGCAUUGGGAGUGUGGCAUGAGGAUGCAAUGGAGUUUGAGAAGAAAGUGUUGGGUGAAGGGAAGAGCAAGUUGGAGUUGAAGAUGGGUGUGGAGGAGUGGAAGGGUGUGGUGGAGAAGAAGAAAGAAUUAGGAGAAAGGCUUAUGUGGCAGUAUGCGCAAGAUUACGAGCAAAGUACAGGGCAGACUGGGGAUAUUAAGAUGCUGGUAACUACUCAGAGGUCUGGCACAGCUGCUGAUAAGGUGUCUGCUUUUUCUGUGCUUGUUGGGGAUAAUCCCAUUGCCAAUUUGAGAUCACUUGAUGCACUUAUAGGAAUGGUAACAUCAAAAGUGGGAAAGCGCCAUGCUCUUACGGGAUUUGAAGCAUUAAAAGAACUUUUUGUCUCUAGUUUAUUGCCUGAUCGCAAGCUGAAGACCCUUUUGCAGCGGCCAGUAAAUAGUCUUCCUGAGAUAAAAGAUGGUUAUUCUCUUCUACUUUUCUGGUAUUGGGAGGAUUGCUUGAAGCAGAGGUAUGAACGUUUUGUUUUUGCACUUGAAGAAGCAUCAAGAGAUAUGCUACCCGUACUAAAAGAUAAGGCAUUGAAGAUCAUGUAUGCUCUGUUGAAAAGCAAAUCAGAGCAGGAGCGCAGAUUGCUUUCUGCCCUAGUUAACAAACUAGGUGAUCCUCAAAAUAGGGGUGCAUCCAAUGCUGACUUUCACUUGUCAAACCUUUUAUCUGACCACCCAAAUAUGAAGGCUGUGGUGAUUGAUGAAAUGGACUCUUUUCUGUUUCGACCUCAUUUAGGACUAAGAGCAAAAUACCAUGCUAUUCGCCUGAGUCAUGAAGGAGAUGGACCAAAGGUUGCAAAACAUUUAGUUGAUGUGUACUUUGCCCUAUUCAAGGUGCUGAUUUCUGAGGCUGAAAGCAGUCAAAAGAUGGAUAAAGUUGGCAAAGCAAAGGAUAGAAAUACUUCUAAUCCUGUCAAGCAGAACAAAGGGGAAAGUUCAUCAGAAUCUCAUGUUGAAUUGGAUUCACGAAUUCUGUCAGCUCUUUUAACAGUCAGUAUGAGAAUCUCUUUUUCAAAAUGAAAGUUAUGGGUGUUAAUAGAGCAUUUCCUUAUGUUUCUAGCACUGAGGCUGAUGACAUUAUUGAGGUCCAAACACCAAUGCUCUUCCGAUUGGUAAGGCUACAGUUAUUUGUUAUUUGGGUUGAAAAAUAAUUUUGUGUUAGGCAGCUAUUUAUCGAUGGGGCUUAACAUGGCUAUGGAGCGUUGCCGACAACAUUUAAAUUGACUGUACAGGUUCAUUCAAAGAAUUUUAAUGUAGGAGUUCAGGCAUUGAUGCUUCUUCAUAAAAUCUCAUCCAAGAACCAGAUUGUUAGUGACCAGUUUUACCGUGCUUUAUACUCAAAACUUUUAUUUCCAGCUGCCAUGAAUUCUUCCAUGGCAAGUCUAACAGGGUACAUGCUUUUAGCUUGGUGAUAAUGUGACUUUGCCCAUGCUUGACAAUUGUUUAUGUCUUUUGCAAAUAACCAGUUUGUUUUCUUUUUCUAGAAAUUGAAUUAUUCCAAAAUUUUCUCUUUAGCAGUGUAACUCUAAUAUCAUGGUACAUAUGUUUUGAAGAGAAAAAGAAAAAUCAGUUCACAUCAUUUUAGGGUUUUGCAACUCUUUUGCUAACAUUUAAACUUUCAGAUGGGCUUAUUCUAUACGUAUGGGUGAGAUCAUUUUUCCCCAUUUAUGUUUAUGCAAUUCAAGAUAUGCUAAGCUUUGUAGCAUGCCAGAAAAUUGGGUGAUAUUGACGAUGCUUUUUAAUUUUUUUUUCUGCAUUGAUCUUUCGUCCUAGCAUGGAAUAGGACAGAUUUCUGUCCCCUUCUGGCUUCUUUUUGUCCAAGACAGUUCAUUUAUUCAGAAAUGUAGAUGAUCUGGGGAUCAGAGAAUUUGGUAUCUGGCAUGAUUUCUUCCUGUUUUAAAUUUCACUUCCAACUUUUAUUGCACUAUAAUAUUUUUUUCUUGAUUCCUUUAAAGGUAUAAGGUGGCUUGAAGUGCAGCAUUGCACUACAUUGACAUCCUCACUCUAACUUCCUUUUCUUGCUGUGAAUUUUGAUAAAAUGUGCAGUUUCUUAGUGUAUUGUCUACAAUGAUCUGUUGUAAAGGCAUAAUUUCAAUUUUGCAAUCAUCUGAACAAAGUCUGUCAUUUACUCACUUGACUACAUCUCCCUUGUAUAUGGUUUAUUUUCAGCUGGAAAUGUUUAUUGGACUCCUCUUGAGGGCAAUGAAAAAUGAUGUAAAUUUGAAGUGUGUGUCUGCCUUCUCAAAGCGACUACUUCAGGUUAGUAUCUUGUAUGCUUGUUGUACUAUGUCAUUUCUUUAGUAAAUGAUAUGAAAUGAAAGCCUGUUUCUUUUUGGUUAGCUGAGAAAUUUUUCUGUUUAAAACGAGUAGUAAUGAUGCCUGAAUAUGUCAGGGCAAUAUGCUUGAAAUGUCAGCUAUUUCUUUGAUGCGGUUCCCUCUUCACCAUGAUAGUGUAAUAUAUGGUUAUUCACAUUUUAUAUUUCAAUUGAUUGCACAAACUCUUUUCUUCCCUAUUGGAAAAGACAUUCUAAAUGAAAAAAAUCAGUCAUUAGAAUUUCAUAUUGGGUGUUUUUGAGGUGGC